UUUCCGUAGGUGAACCUGCGGAAGGAUCAUUACAGAGUUCAUGCCCUCUCGGGUAGAUCUCCCACCCUUGAAUAUUUAUACCUUAGUUGCUUUGGCAGGCCGUGGAAACACCAUGGGCUCCGGCUUAUGCCUGCGUGCCAGCGGAAACAAACUCUGUUUUUAGUGAUGUCUGAGUACUAUAUAAUAGUUAAAACUUUCAACAACGGAUCUCUUGGUUCUG
Molecule: unclassified non-coding RNA, 220 nt
Filed under: plant metagenome
Description: partial contains small subunit ribosomal RNA, internal transcribed spacer 1, and 5.8S ribosomal RNA
Source: RNAcentral